This is a long non-coding RNA of Oncorhynchus tshawytscha (Chinook salmon), 968 nucleotides long. The record is from Ensembl. NCBI's taxonomy places the organism in Eukaryota, Metazoa, Chordata, Actinopteri, Salmoniformes, Salmonidae.
CUUAAAUGUGAGAGCAAAAUGGGUUGUUCCAAACAAAACAGAUUGCCAUACACACCUUGCUUUUCACCUGUGAACAAGGAAAUCAUCUCUGCCUCACAUCACAUAGCAGGCUACCUGGGCUGGGUUAAAAGGAGAUGUGCCUGGGAAAGAAAAAUAUAUAUUUUUAAAAUGCAAGAAAGAAUAUCCACUUGGCUUAUCAAGGUUGUCUUUAUGUUAUGAGUUUCCCAGAUAUCAACGGCCCCGGGAGAAGGCUGGAAAGUGGCGACCAUAGUCCUGGGAGUUCUGCUGGGCUUGAUUUUGUUAGUCGGGGUUGUCGUUCUGGUCAGCACCGCAGUGAGGAAAGCAACUAGCAAGCUGACCUCGUACAACCUCCAGCACACAGAGCACAACAGACAGGCGGUGUCCAAUGACUAUUUACAAGGAUGUUAUUCUUACCAGAUCAAAAAUAUCAAGAUAUUGAAUAUUAAUAACAUUUGAAUUAUAUAUUUUGAUAGACAAAAGUAUCAGGUAUCACACCAUGUAAAGGAACAACGUCCUAAUUCUUUAAUUGUUUUAUAAAAUGCAACUGGAUUGAUGUCAACUCCGUCAGACAAAUAUUUAUUAUCCAACAAGUGUUAAAUAAAGGCCUUGAUUGUUUAAUUCUAACAUUACAUUAUUCAAAUAUGAUAUGAUAAUGCUCCAAGGCUAAUUUUGUUAGCAUUUUGACAUGUUUCUCUAGAUUCAGAACAUAAAACAACAUUUAGAAAGCAAACAAUAACCCUUAGGUCUAACACAGCAAAUAAGUCAGUAGUUUAAGCAUAUGUUGCAACAAUGUUAAAAUAUUUUUUUCUGAAUAUUGACAAAAAAGAUCGAUAUUAAGAGGGUUAGCCAUCAGUGAGUUGACAAGCCAUUGACGAGGCUGACAACAAAUACUCAAAACAGCCUCUAAAAAUAAACGUUUAAUACAAACAUUUGUAAAAAUAUAACCA